Molecule: long non-coding RNA, 1495 nt
Organism: Macrobrachium nipponense
Lineage: Eukaryota; Metazoa; Arthropoda; Malacostraca; Decapoda; Palaemonidae
Exons: 4
Source: RefSeq, a predicted model, not a curated record
CUCUGUCGGUAGUCGGGACUGUAGUCUCCGGAGUCUAGUGGCAGGUCGGAAAGUAGGUGUUGCCGAACCGCUAGGGUCUACAAAAUCUCAGGUCUUGUGAAGGUGAUGACGGAGAAAGGUGCUGGAAGUUUCAGUGGACCAGUCUCCAGGUCAUUGAAUGAAUUUGUGUUACAGACUUGCUUCUGGAGGUAAACUGAAUGUACUGUGCUGCAUUCACCAAGGAUGCUGACUGCUUGCUUUAGAAAUUAGCCGCAGGAAAUUAGAUGAGCACCAACUGAAAGUGGGGACUUCUGAAGUAAGCACUCCCUAGUACUAGGGAGGAACUGCAAUCAGUAUCCCUCACAUCUAAUUCAUGAUUGACAAAAAGGGCAUGACAGUGAUGAAGAGUGAAGAAAUCAUGCAUGGCAUGAUCACAAUGCAAAGAGGGACCAGGAACCCGGAAACCCAGCAAGGAGACUCAAAAUAAUGAGGCAAGAAUAAUAGUCCUGCUAACAUGAAAGAUUUGCUCAUUUCUUAAGCUGAGUUGCAGAGCUGUAGUAAAAAGUGAGUGGACUGAUUUGCAGUUGUCAUUCCUACUGAUGUUUUUGUUCAUUUUUGGCAACUGAGAGACAAUGGGAAUAAAAGUGGAAUAUGUCAUGUUGGAAUUACUAUUUUGUGAGAGUAUAGUGCUUUUUUGUUACAAUUAAGUACAAUAUAUGUAUUACUAAAAAAUUUUAUGUACAGCAUUUUUGGGGCAUUUUAUUGUCCUAGGAAUCAAAUAGAAAUGGGAAUUUCUUAGACCUGUCAUCUACAAUUGGGAAUGAGAAUUGGUAUGAUGGGAAUAGGUACAGCAGUAUUUUGUGUUAAGCAAACAGAAUAUUUGCCAUAUUCAUCUAAUAUUUAUACAAAUGUUUUUUAGGCAUUUUUAUCAUCUCAGGGGUUAUAGUUGUGGGAAUUGGAAUUACUACUAUAUAUAGUCUUUAUGGUUAGUGUUAUGAACGUAAAUAGGGUGGGAUUGGAUAUGACAACAGUACUUUCAAGUUUGAGAGGAUUAUUACACCAUCAUGCAUCUGCAGAGGGGUUUUUUUGGGGAUCAAUAAAAUCCCAAUUAAAUAGCCAUCUGGAUUCAGACUAACUUUGGAGAAAUUUUUGUAAAAGGUAUGUUUUCAAGUUUGGUAUAUAUUCAAGUACAAAAUAAUUAAUUUUGAUUUUUAUUUUACAUGCUUUCUGAACUUUUGAAAUUCCCAGCCAUGAAGAUACUGACACUGGAUUUCCUCUUCAUGUCAAGAAAAAAAAAACAAGUUAUGUAUAAUCUAAAGUGCAAGUUAGCAAUAGCGUUACAAUAUUUUAACUAUUUUUUACUGAUAUGUGAUGGCAAAGUUUAUUUCUCUUGAUUUUAAGUUGCCGCUGUUCAUCUCAGCACAGGCACUUCAUAUGUGUAUCAUGUUUUGUUUUUAUGUUCAGGAGUAUAAGGAUUGUUUAUAGAUGAGUAGUUUAAAUGUGUGCUUAUACAGUA